UACGUAGGGGGGCAAGCGUUGUCCGGAAUUAUUGGGCGUAAAGCGCGUGUAGGCGGCUCGGUAAGUCUGCUGUGAAAGUCCAGGGCUCAACCCUGGGAUGCCGACCGAUACUGUCGGACUAGAGUUCGGAAGAGGCGAGUGGAAUUCCCGGUGUAGCGGUGAAAUGCGCAGAUAUCGGGAGGAACACCAAUGGCGAAGGCAGCUCGCUGGGACGUUACUGACGCUGAGACGCGAAAGCGUGGGGAGCAAACAGG
RNAcentral lists this ribosomal RNA (254 nucleotides) under uncultured bacterium. RNAcentral describes it as "partial 16S ribosomal RNA". It matches the Rfam family "Bacterial small subunit ribosomal RNA", at positions 524 to 776 of the family's 1533-position model. The record is from RNAcentral.